UAGCCGUAAACGAUACUCGCUAGGUGUCGGCCACGGUGCGACCGUUGUCGGUGCCGUAGGGAAGCCGUGAAGCGAGCCACCUGGGAAGUACGGCCGCAAGGCUGAAACUUAAAGGAAUUGGCGGGGGAGCACCACAACGGGUGGAGCUUGCGGUUUAAUUGGAUUCAACGCCGGAAAUCUUACCGGGACCGACAGCAACAUGAAGGCCAGGCUGAAGACUUUGCCGGAUUAGCUGAGAGGAGGUGCAUGGCGUAGACGUC
Molecule: ribosomal RNA, 260 nt
Filed under: uncultured archaeon
Lineage: Archaea
Description: partial 16S ribosomal RNA
Rfam family: Archaeal small subunit ribosomal RNA
Source: RNAcentral